RNAcentral lists this ribosomal RNA (490 nucleotides) under uncultured bacterium. RNAcentral describes it as "bacterial SSU rRNA". It matches the Rfam family "Bacterial small subunit ribosomal RNA", at positions 31 to 541 of the family's 1533-position model. The record is from RNAcentral.
GAACGUUGGCGGUGUGCCAAAUAGAUGCAAGUCGAAGGGAGUUAAUAACAAUAUUGAGUUAGUGGCGAAGGGGUGAGUAACGCGUUGGAGAUCUGCCUCGAAGUGUGGAACAACGUUCCGAAAGGAACGCUAAUACCGCAUGUGCUCUCGAUUUUUAGAAAGUCGAAAGUAAAGGAUUUAUUCGCUUCGAGAGGAGCCAGCGUCCCAUCAGCUGGUUGGUAGGGUAAAGGCCUACCAAGGCUAUGACGGGUAGGGGGCCUGAGAGGGUGGCCCCCCUCAAUGGAACUGAAACACGGUCCAUACACCUACGGGUGGCAGCAGUUGGGAAUAUUAGAAAUGGACGAAAGUCUGAUCUAGCAACACCGCGUGUGCGAAGAAGGCCUUCGGGUCGUAAAGCACUUUUUGGAAGGAAUAGGAAGGAAUCUACUUCCAGAAAAAGUCUCGGCUAACUUCGUGCCAGCAGCCGCGGUAACACGAAGGAGGCGAACGU